This 228-nucleotide long non-coding RNA is filed under the name Populus tremula. Its description in RNAcentral is "long non-coding RNA (PTRE_LNC000317)". Lineage: Eukaryota; Viridiplantae; Streptophyta; Magnoliopsida; Malpighiales; Salicaceae. The record is from RNAcentral.
UUGACACAAGAAGAUUAGCUGAGGGUGGGCAAGAUAUUUAUAUACGGCUAGCUGCUUCACAAUCAGGUAUGGCUUCAGUUGGCAACUAAUUAUUAAUCGUAAGGACAUAGCACCAACAUUGAUAGAAAUUCAACCAUUAUUUCUCUUCAAAUCUGGUUCAUCAACCAUGGAAAAAGAAACAGCGCCAUUCUCCCUAUCUGAACUUAGUUGAUAUGAUUUCCCAUUUGC